RNAcentral lists this ribosomal RNA (587 nucleotides) under Treponema sp. RNAcentral describes it as "bacterial SSU rRNA". It matches the Rfam family "Bacterial small subunit ribosomal RNA", at positions 91 to 665 of the family's 1533-position model. Lineage: Bacteria; Pseudomonadati; Spirochaetota; Spirochaetia; Treponematales; Treponemataceae. The record is from RNAcentral.
UAGAGUGGCGGACUGGUGAGUAACGCGUGGGUAAUCUACCUUUAGGAUGGGGAUAGCUCCUAGAAAUAGGAGGUAAUACCGAAUGANCUUAUAUUCUUGUGGAGAGGGUAUAAGGAAAGGGAGCUACGGCUUCGCCUGANGAUGAGCUCGCNNCCCAUUAGCUAGUUGGUGUGGUAAAGGCAUACCAAGGCGACGAUGGGUAUCCGACCUGAGAGGGUGACCGACACAUUGGGACUGAGAACAGCCCAGACUCCUACGGGAGGCAGCAGCUAAGAAUCUUCCGCAAUGGACGCAAGUCUGACGGAGCGACGCCGCGUGAAUGAAGAAGGCCGAAAGGUUGUAAAAUUCUUUUAAGUCUGAAGAAUAAUUGAGGUAGGGAAUGACCUUGAGAUGACGGUAAGGCUUGAAUAAGCCCCGGCUAAUUACGUGCCAGCAGCCGCGGUAACACGUGAGGGGCGAGCGUUGUUCGGAAUUAUUGGGCGUAAAGGGUAUGCAGGCGGUUAGGUAAGCCUGGUGUGAAAUUCACAAGCUUAACUUGGGAGGUGCACUAGGAACUACGUAACUUGAAUCACGAAGGGGAAACUGGA